AUUCUUACCUGGCAGGGGAGAUACCAGGAUCAUGAAGGUAGUUUUCCCAGGGUGAGGCUCAUCCAUUGCACUCCAGAUGUGCUGACCCUGCGAUUUCCCCAAAUGUGGGAAACUCGACUGCAUACUUUGUGGCAGUGGGGGACUGCGUUUGUGCUCUCCCCCC
Molecule: small nuclear RNA, 163 nt
Filed under: Echinops telfairi (small Madagascar hedgehog)
Lineage: Eukaryota; Metazoa; Chordata; Mammalia; Afrosoricida; Tenrecidae
Description: U1 spliceosomal RNA (ENSETEG00000021256.1)
Rfam family: U1 spliceosomal RNA
About the family: U1 is a small nuclear RNA (snRNA) component of the spliceosome (involved in pre-mRNA splicing).
Source: RNAcentral